AUGAGAGCUCACCUCUUUGGGCGAAAAGUCGAGGCAUCGCUAGGAACCUUCAAGAUGAAUCCCGGCCCCGCCAAACUUUGCAACACGCAAUUGCAGGGCUGUGGAUCCAUCCACAGGUGUGAAUUCUGCAAUGCUGCCCAGAAACCCACUGCAGCCUCAGACCAACAGCAGCGGCGGCGGCGGCGGCUGCAGCGGCGGCGGCGGCGGCAGCAGCAGCUUCUCCCAAUGCUGAGUAGUAAAGUCUUUGACUUAGUAGACUCCACAAUUACCAUUAGGCACUUACUUAUAAGAGAGGGGGCGGAAUCUUUCUUAAAGGAAUGGGUUUUGUUUUUUCCUCUCCGGUAUUGCUUCAUAAGAGGCAGAGAGGGUGGAAUCAGGGAGGUUUUUUUUUUUUUUUUGUGGACAGAGUAAAGCAGUACAGCUGUGGGAGGUCAAGGUUAAAAUUAACUGGGUGAUUGAGGAAGGGAGGCAACGAUUUUAGUGUAAGUCAAUGAAAUGCUAGAAGCCCCAGUUUUAAAAAGCCCUGCUAACUUCAAACAUUGGGGUUAAUGGCAAAAUAAAGCUGUAUGCCUUGAAACCGAUGAGUAAUUUGUGCUAAUAUUUAAUUUCCAAUCAUCGUACUAAAAUGGUAACUACGUAAAGGAAAGUUAUUUAGUAUUUAAUUAAAGAAUAAAAAGAAAAAGGAAGUAAAACUUGUUUAUGUGACUAGGAGCAAUGGAUUCAAGUCCUACCUAUAAGCAUACUUGGAACUUCAGUGAAUACCAGUAUUAGAAAAUAUAUUAUUGACAGAUUUUAGUGUGUACUCAUGUGUUAUAAAAAUCACAUUAUAUAUAGAAAAAACAAAAUAGAUCUAAAAUAAUUUUUGGAAGAUAAUAGCACAGUAUUAUACUAUUUCAGUGGCAAUUCAAAGGUCAGCAAAAUUAAGAAACACAAGUGGAUUGACUGACUUUAAGUGCAUUUGAAUCUACUAUCUACACUAUUAAAAUAUAACGUGUCCACACAUGAGAAUCUGCAUUAUAACCUUAAAUGUUAUCUUUAAUAAUGUUACCUGAUUUAAGCAUUGACCAGCUAUGAUUUUUUACUUUAUAGGUAAAUGAAGAGAUGUGAUCUCAAUAUAUGAAUAGAAAAAAAAUACAGAAAACAUUCUACCUUUGAUUUUCUUUGCACAGCCUUUGCUAAUUAUGUACCUGUGUGAUCUUGACGAGUAAAUAACCUUAUUUGGUUCUUAGUUCCCUAUUUUGUAAACUGAGGAAGUUGGAUUGGAAUUUCCCAGGGUCCUUUAGCAUUCCAAAAUAGUGUGAUUUUAUGACAUUCAUAUUUUUAUAUUUUUGUUAUUUAAUGCAAGUAUGUCCUGCUCUCAAUUACUUUUUCUGAAAACUUGGAUUAAAAGUAAAUCUUUAUUGUAAAUGCUUAACCAGAGUAUAUUACUUGCCACUAUUCUGAAAUAUUUUGGCAAAUUAUUUUGUAAAGUAAAUAAACUUAAUUUUAUCUGAUUAUGAUUUUGUAUCCAACUAUGACCAAUUUCCCUGAAGUAGGACCCUAAUAUAUUGUUAAGGAUACCAACUGACUGGAAUACUAUAAUGUAUGUUAUGUAAUAACUGAAACAUAUUUUAAAACUGUAGCAUUUAUAGGAUGGUAGAGGUAAAACAGAUUGUAGAGCUUACCUACUCUACAACCCUGUAGUUUUAUACAUAGAAAACAUGGAAACCUAAAGAAACAAAAUGGGGACAGUGUUAGGCACAAAACUAGGGUUAAUUAUGAGUCUCCACUCUUCGCACGCACAAGGCAAGUAAACUACGCAUGACCAUACACAGGUUCAUAUACCCACUCUGGGGGCUGAGCAGGACCUGUCACAACAAAAACAAGUAGUUUCAGGCCGGGUGCCACGGCUCAUACCUGUAAUUCCAGCAUUUUGGGAGGCUGAGGCAGGCAGAUCAUUUGAGGUCAGGAGUUUAAGACCAGCCUGCCCAACAUGGUGAAACCGUCUCUACUGAAAAUACAAAAAUUAGCUGGGCAUGGUGGUGGACGCCUGUGAUACCAGAUACUCCAGAGGCUGAGGCAGGAGAAUCACUUCAACCUGGGAGGUGGAGGUUGCAGUGAGCCGAGAUUGCACCGCUGCACUCCAGCCUGGGAAACAGAGUGAGACUGUCUCAGAAAACAAAACAACAACAAUAAAACAAGUAGUUUCAGCCAUUGAUAUUAUUUGUACACAUAUGAACUAAAGGAACUUACCAACUACUUAUAAU
Callithrix jacchus (white-tufted-ear marmoset) is the source of this 2246-nucleotide long non-coding RNA. Lineage: Eukaryota; Metazoa; Chordata; Mammalia; Primates; Cebidae. The record is from Ensembl.